AUUCCGCUGACUUCUUCGAUGAUAUAUGCACGUGACGUCACCAUAACUAGUCAUUUUUGUCUCUUCGCCCUUUAGUGUGCGAAUUCGGAAAUACCGGUAAUAACGUUUUUUUAAACUGCAAAGAAUAAAGAAAGACGCGGGACAACUGGAAUCCUGGUAAAUUACCAAACUUCCCAGAUAGUCCUGGCUGCUGGCCCUGCCACUGCUGCUUACUAACAGAGUGUGGACAGCAGGGGAGGCUAGAGUACUCCUCCAGGGGGCUGGGACGCUUCCAGCUGGGUCGCUGAGGUGUGGAGCUCGCCUCGGGGUAAUCCUCUUGUACUUUCUUCAAGGGAAAAUUCCCCAUUUCUCCGUUUCCCAUCGGCUGGCUUGUGGCUUAAAAAGACACACUUUAUUACACUUUGGAGGUUCCAGGCAGCAGUGGACAGUAUGGAGGAGACAACCGUGGCUGCAGCCUCAGAAAUGUUGAUCUUCAUCCAGACCACGUUGCACUCAUACAAACCAGUAGAGAUUACAGGUCAAAUGCAGGUCAGUGCAGAUAUCAUUGUCACCAAACCGUACACUCUCCAGACCAUGGCGGUGCCACUGCCCACACCUACCCUCAUUAAAGGGGAACUGUCUGUUUACAGCUCUUGGGUAGUACAACGCAUAUGUGAAAAAAAAAAAGUUAUCCACUCUCCAUUAACUUGUAUUGCUGGAAGGUACCUCCACGUGUCAAUUUCGUCUGCUGUGCUACCAACAGGGUAAAUAACCC
This is a long non-coding RNA of Perca fluviatilis (European perch), 754 nucleotides long. RefSeq lists it as uncharacterized. NCBI's taxonomy places the organism in Eukaryota, Metazoa, Chordata, Actinopteri, Perciformes, Percidae. The record is from RefSeq and is a predicted model, not a curated record. The transcript has 5 exons.